GAUGAACGCUGGCGGCGUGCCUAAUACAUGCAAGUCGAGCGAACAGACGAGGAGCUUGCUCCUCUGACGUUAGCGGCGGACGGGUGAGUAACACGUGGAUAACCUACCUAUAAGACUGGGAUAACUUCGGGAAACCGGAGCUAAUACCGGAUAAUAUAUUGAACCGCAUGGUUCAAUAGUGAAAGACGGUUUUGCUGUCACUUAUAGAUGGAUCCGCGCCGCAUUAGCUAGUUGGUAGGGUAACGGCUUACCAAGGCAACGAUGCGUAGCCGACCUGAGAGGGUGAUCGGCCACACUGGAACUGAGACACGGUCCAGACUCCUACGGGAGGCAGCAGUAGGGAAUCUUCCGCAAUGGGCGAAAGCCUGACGGAGCAACGCCGCGUGAGUGAUGAAGGUCUUCGGAUCGUAAAACUCUGUUAUUAGGGAAGAACAAAUGUGUAAGUAACUAUGCACGUCUUGACGGUACCUAAUCAGAAAGCCACGGCUAACUACGU
This 496-nucleotide ribosomal RNA is filed under the name uncultured bacterium. RNAcentral's name for it is "partial 16S ribosomal RNA". It matches the Rfam family "Bacterial small subunit ribosomal RNA", at positions 28 to 506 of the family's 1533-position model. The record is from RNAcentral.